This 435-nucleotide ribosomal RNA is filed under the name uncultured bacterium. Its description in RNAcentral is "partial 16S ribosomal RNA". It matches the Rfam family "Bacterial small subunit ribosomal RNA", at positions 28 to 507 of the family's 1533-position model. The record is from RNAcentral.
GAUGAACGCUGGCGGUAUGCUUAACACAUGCGAGUCGAACGGACUCUUCGGAGUUAGUGGCGGACGGGUGAGUAACGCGUGAGAAUCUGGCUUUGGGUUCGGGACAACCACUGGAAACGGUGGCUAAUACCGGAUGUGCCGAGAGGUAAAAGAGAAAUUGCCUGAAGAUGAGCUCGCGUCUGAUUAGCUAGUUGGUGAGGUAAAGGCUCACCAAGGCAGCGAUCAGUAGCUGGUCUGAGAGGAUGACCAGCCACACUGGGACUGAGACACGGCCCAGACUCCUACGGGAGGCAGCAGUGGGGAAUUUUCCGCAAUGGGCGAAAGCCUGACGGAGCAAUACCGCGUGAGGGAAGAAGGCUCUUGGGGUGUAAACCUCUUUUCUUAGGGAAGAACAAAAUGACGGUACCUAAGGAAUCAGCAUCGGCUAACUCCGUG